GGCGGAAUGGCCGAGCGGUCUAAGGCGCUAGAAUCAGGCGAAGACGUCAUCUAGUCCGAAAGGGCGUGGGUUCGAAUCCCACUUCCGUCA
Molecule: non-coding RNA, 90 nt
Organism: Fomes fomentarius
Lineage: Eukaryota; Fungi; Basidiomycota; Agaricomycetes; Polyporales; Polyporaceae
Source: the annotation of a GenBank genome assembly